Long non-coding RNA from Lolium perenne, 748 nucleotides. RefSeq lists it as uncharacterized. The record is from RefSeq and is a predicted model, not a curated record. NCBI's taxonomy places the organism in Eukaryota, Viridiplantae, Streptophyta, Magnoliopsida, Poales, Poaceae.
UGUUUUUCAUUUCUGCUGUCGUUUUCGCUCAGGGGAGGAGGGGCGAGAGGCUGCCAUGGCGGAGAGGUUGGCACUCGGCACCGUCCCCGCAGACGACGCCACUGGAUAUGGAGGGAGCGGUGUUUCGGGUUCGGGCGCCACCGCCGACGAAGAUAGCAGUCACCCCGCAGCCGGUACGAGCGACGUCAGAGAGAUCCGUAGAGCGCGAGCCUGCUCGACCCGCGAAGGAGAGACGGCCGGCGGUUAACCUGCGUGGAAGACAUGGCCGCCAUUUUUGGUGAGCCAAUCUUUCAUCCAACUUCAGCCUGGCGGUCUCUGCGCACAAAACCUCCGAUAUAUCAAAAAAGAAAAGAUCAAGAAAGAAGGUUGUCUUUCUUCCUCGGAAACAAGAUCAGAGUACCUACAAGACUCCGAUAAUUUACUAAGAGCGCUUCUCGUCUACAUGUGCAAAGUUUGUUUAAAUGUCAGCCAUGCCUACGCCAGGGAUUUCCGCAUGGAGGAAUGAGUGGUUGGAGUAGGACGUGAGCUGUUUUGCUUUGGUGGAUAAGGUUGAACAGGUGUUUUGGAUCUUACACGGAUGCAUGUUCUUGUUUUGGGGCUUUUCUUGUUUCUGGAUACUUUUCUGUACAGGGCUAAAAAAGGUCAGUACUUACUGAAGAAAUGAAAAACACUGAUUCAACAUGGGCUGUACAAAAUGUGUCUGUUUCACUGGACUAAAACAGACAGUUUAACGAGUCUUUUCCAUUGA